This 253-nucleotide ribosomal RNA is filed under the name uncultured bacterium. RNAcentral describes it as "partial 16S ribosomal RNA". It matches the Rfam family "Bacterial small subunit ribosomal RNA", at positions 524 to 776 of the family's 1533-position model. The record is from RNAcentral.
UACGUAGGAGGCGAGCGUUGUCCGGAAUUACUGGGUGUAAAGCGCGCGUAGGUGGCAGGCCAAGUCUGUGGUGAAAGCGCCCGGCUCAACUGGGCAUGGUCCAUGGAAACUGGUCAGCUGGAGGACGGUAGAGGCGAGUGGAAUUCCUGGUGUAGCGGUGAAAUGCGCAGAUAUCAGGAAGAACACCCGUGGCGAAGGCGGCUCUCUGGGACGGUACUGACGCUGAGACGCGAAAGCGUGGGGAGCGAACAGG